RNAcentral lists this transfer RNA (93 nucleotides) under Dreissena polymorpha. RNAcentral's name for it is "tRNA-Pro". It matches the Rfam family "tRNA". From Rfam's summary of the family: Transfer RNA (tRNA) molecules are approximately 80 nucleotides in length. Their secondary structure includes four short double-helical elements and three loops (D, anti-codon, and T loops). The record is from RNAcentral. Lineage: Eukaryota; Metazoa; Mollusca; Bivalvia; Myida; Dreissenidae.
GGCUAGUUUGUCUAGGGGUAUGAUUCUCGCUUAGGGUGCGAGAUGUCUUUCUUAGGGUGCGAGAUGUCCCGGGUUCAAAUCCCGGACGAGCCC